AGAGUUUGAUUCUGGCUCAGGAUGAACGCUGACAGAAUGCUUAACACAUGCAAGUCAACUUGAAUUUGGGUUUUUAACUUAGAUUUGGGUGGCGGACGGGUGAGUAACGCGUAAAAAACUUGCCUCACAGCUAGGGACAACAUUUAGAAAUGAAUGCUAAUACCUGAUAUUAUGAUUUUAAGGCAUCUUAGAAUUAUGAAAGCUAUAAGCACUGUGAGAGAGCUUUGCGUCCCAUUAGCUAGUUGGAGAGGUAACAGCUCACCAAGGCGAUGAUGGGUAGCCGGCCUGAGAGGGUGAACGGCCACAAGGGGACUGAGACACGGCCCUUACUCCUACGGGAGGCAGCAGUGGGGAAUAUUGGACAAUGGACCGAGAGUCUGAUCCAGCAAUUCUGUGUGCACGAUGAAGUUUUUCGGAAUGUAAAGUGCUUUCAGUUGGGAAGAAAGAAAUGACGGUACCAACAGAAGAAGUGACGGCUAAAUACGUGCCAGCAGCCGCGGU
This 501-nucleotide ribosomal RNA is filed under the name Fusobacterium sp. oral clone BP2-79. RNAcentral's name for it is "bacterial SSU rRNA". It matches the Rfam family "Bacterial small subunit ribosomal RNA", at positions 8 to 521 of the family's 1533-position model. Lineage: Bacteria; Fusobacteriati; Fusobacteriota; Fusobacteriia; Fusobacteriales; Fusobacteriaceae. The record is from RNAcentral.